GAACUUUUUUACUAUAUAAAAUGAUCAAACAAUUGUACAUUUGUAAUUAUAUGUGAAGCUGAAAAAUGGCUGAAAUUCUCAAGUUUGUUUAUACUAUGAUCCUUUUUGUUUCCAUAUUUAUCAUUGUAGUCAAUGUUGGUGGAAAAUGUGUUUCUGACGCCGAGUGUAGUGGACAAUAUAUGUGUCCCACUCUAACAGUAAUAAAAUGCAUUAAAGAUGAAUGUGUAUGCAUUCAUUAUGAUCAUGACAAGCAAUAGGUGAAUCUUGUAUUUUGUAUUGUUACCGUUGUUUUGUUGUAAUCCUUAGAAUUAAUUUUUGUUUUUUAUUUUACAUUUGAGUUUGCAAAUUUAUGAAUUGAAAUGUGCUUUAUUAUUAUUUAUUGAAUGUUGAAAAAUAAUUUAUGGUGUUUAA
Medicago truncatula (barrel medic) is the source of this 411-nucleotide long non-coding RNA. RefSeq lists it as uncharacterized. The transcript is spliced from 2 exons. NCBI's taxonomy places the organism in Eukaryota, Viridiplantae, Streptophyta, Magnoliopsida, Fabales, Fabaceae. The record is from RefSeq and is a predicted model, not a curated record.